Molecule: non-coding RNA, 3076 nt
Organism: Malus domestica (apple)
Lineage: Eukaryota; Viridiplantae; Streptophyta; Magnoliopsida; Rosales; Rosaceae
Source: RefSeq, a predicted model, not a curated record
UUAUUGCUUAUCAAACUUGGAGUUUCAGAUCGAUUUGGCGAGCAAGAGCGCCGCGACCCACCGCAUCUCCUCUGUAUUGAAUUUCUUUCUUCCAAACUCCUAUCUUUAGAUGGGCUCUUCGAUUAGUCAUCAAGCUCUUCCAUUUGUUCUCAAUUCUUUCUGUCGCCGAGAGAGGAACUGAGUUGAGAGGAAGUCUGAGUUUCCUCUCAACUCAGUUCCUCGCCCAACGCCCGCCUAAGCCGCCCAGGCGCCCACUGCUUCUUGGCUUCCAAACUGAUCUUAACACUUGAGAGGUGUCUCUCCCUAUUCAGCCGAGCUCAAAUCCCUCUCUCUCCUCUGUUUAGAUUAGUUUAAAAGAAAGCAGCCUCUCCCUCGUUUCAAAUGCAUUUAUAAUUCUGUGAUCCAAAGCAAUUGCUCUCUUGUUUUAGAAGUCAGAUUUUCAGAGCUGGGUGGUGGUUGUUGUUGUUGUUGAAAUUAUGGGAGUCCUUGCGUCAGCUGUAGUAGCUAUUGUAAAAAUUCCAUUUGAAUGGCUGUUUGGUGCCGCCAUAAGAUUCUACAAGAUGGCUAAGAAGUUUCCAACUCUCCGCAGAGAUCUCACUUCAAAUAUAAACUACUUGGAACAACGGAUCCCACUGAUAAGCCGCACCAGAAUCGUUUGGGUUUCUGAAAAUUUAACAAGAACAAUGGAGGAUGGCAAGGAGCUGGCCAGAAUGUGCGACGAGGGGAAUCUGAACUUCUUUGAAAAGGCUAAAUAUGCUAAAAAAAUUGUUAAAUGGGACGAAUCUCGUCAAAGAAUCUUGAAGUUAGUGCAAACUGAUGCAAAUCUUGUGGCUCAAAAUCAAAACCAAGACCUUGUUACAACUUGGUGUGCAGUUCCUGACCUUCCAAGCAAUACACUAAAACUGGAUGCACCUUUGGCGGGGAUGAAGAUGAAACUCCUUAGAGAUGACGCGCGGUCAAUGCUUGUGCUCACUGCUCCGCCAGGAUGUGGGAAAACCACUUUGGCAAAUAUGUUCUGUCAUGAUCCACAGUAGUCACAGAUAAAUUCAAGGACAAUAUCUUCUUUGCCACGGUUUCCAAUAAGCCCAGCCACCUUGUUGUCCAAGAAUUGUGUCAACAUGCCGGAUUCAGGGUACCUGCUUUAGAAAAUGAAGCAAUUGCAUUUAGCUGGCUGCCGCGAUUUUUGAGGGAAGCAGGGCAAAAUCCCUUACUGUUAAUCUUGGAUGAUGUUCCGUCUACAUCAGAAUCCCUUCUUGACAAGUUUGAUGAAAUCAAAAUUACAGAUUACAAGAUUUUGGUGACAUCAAGAUACCAUUUUCCGAAAUUCGGGCCUCCAUAUAAUUUACAAGCGUUGACAGAUAAAGAUGCACUGACUCUUUUUCGUCGUUCAGCAUUCCUGCCAAAUACGAGCUGUAACAUACCAGAUGAUCUUCAGAUUCAGAUAGUAAACUGCUGUAAGAGAUUUCCGCUUGCCAUUACAACCGUAGGGACGUCACUUUGCAAUCAGCCUAUACAGGAAUGGAGAACCAAACUCAAAAAAUUAUCUAAAGGUUCUUCUAUUCUUGAUUCAGAGAAUGAUUCAGAGAAAAAAUUGCUUGCACUCCUCGAAAGUUGCUUAGAUGACUUGAAUAGAGAAAUGGCUCCUGUCAAGGAUUGUUUCAUAGACCUUGCUUUAUUUCCCCAAGACCAAAGAAUUCCCGUUGCUUUCCUUCUUGAUAUGUGGGCAGAGUUAUAUGAGGGAUCAAAUGAUGACGAUUCAAUAGUGAACCUAUACCACCUCACCUUCCGCAAUUUGGCCAGUCUUGUAGUCACAAGGACUAAGGAUUUGGAUGGAUACUAUGGUGAACAUUUUGUUGUCCAACAUGAUGUGCUUAAAUUGCUAUCAAUCCGUGCGAGUCAUGAUGAAGACCCAACAGGACAUAGAUUGAUUGUAGACAUAAAUGGAGAUGAGCUUCCACCAUGGUGGACAGAGAAGAAAACAUGGAAGGCUCGCUUAGUAUCUGUCUUAACACCAUGGUGGACAGAGAAGAAGCAGAAAACAAAGAAGGCUCGCUUAGUAUCUGUCAUAACUGGUGAAUCUUCUUCAACAGAGUGGCACAACAUGGAUCUACCAAAAGGCGAGGUUCUAGUUUUGAAUUUUCAAGCAAAGAACUAUGCCUUACCCAAGUUCAUGAAGAAAAUGUGCAAGUUGAAGGUUCUAAUAGUCACAAAUGAUGGCUUCUCACCUGCUGAGCUAAGUGACUUUGAACUGCUGUGUUCUUUGUCAAAUCUAAAGAGACUAAGAUUAGAGCAUAUUUCAAUUCCUUUGAUACGCGAGAACAUCAUUCCAUCGAAGAGUCUAAAGAAGAUAUCUUUAUUCAUGUGUAACGUCAGUCAAGCAUUUGGAAACUCUUCCAUCCAAAUUUUUGAGACAUUCCCAUACCUAGAGGAGUUGCACAUCGACUAUUGUAACGAUUUGGUGAAAUUGCCUGCCAAGCUAUGCGAUCUUAUCGGCCUAAAAGUUCUCAGCAUCACCAACUCUCAUAAGCUAUCUGUCUUGCCUGAAGACAUCGGAAAGCUGGAGAAUUUAGAAGUGUUGAGGCUAAGGUCCUGCACAGGCUUGGAAAAGCUUCCAGGCUCGAUUGAGAAACUCAAUAACUUGUACUUUCUUGACAUAUCUAAUUGUUCCAGCAUUAAGACGUUGCCCGAAGGCAUUGAUAAGAUGAAUGGUUUAAGAAAAAUCAAUAUGGCACAAUGUUCAAGAUUGGAUGAGCUGCCUGAGUCAGUGUAUGAUCUUGGUCCGCAGUUAGAGAAAGUGAUAUGUGACGAGGACGCAAGAAUUUUUUGGGAACCUGUCUUAUCAAAUCCCAACAAAAUAACGGUGGCAUUCAACCUGAAUUGGCUCCACAGACUUCAGAUUUGAGAGCUAUCUUUCCACGAUAAGUAUUGGAGCAAAUGGCCUGUGUACUUUGUAUUCCAGUUUAUUUUUUCCUAUUUCUCAUUUGGUGUUUGUAUGAGAUAUUGCAUCAUUCCACUGGCUUGGAUUUCCCUCGUUUUCUUCUCUAUAUACUGAUUAAGAUUUGUUGAAUUUUUGAUU